Molecule: ribosomal RNA, 464 nt
Filed under: uncultured bacterium
Lineage: Bacteria
Description: bacterial SSU rRNA
Rfam family: Bacterial small subunit ribosomal RNA
Source: RNAcentral
UAGGGAAUAUUGGACAAUGGGUGAGAGCCUGAUCCAGCCAUGCCGCGUGCAGGAAGAAGGCGUUAUGCGUUGUAAACUGCUUUUUGCCAGGGGAUAAAAUGAGCGUGCGCGCUUAAUUGAAGGUACCUGGUGAAUAAGCCACGGCUAACUACGUGCCAGCAGCCGCGGUAAUACGUAGGUGGCAAGCGUUGUCCGGAUUUAUUGGGUUUAAAGGGUGCGUAGGUGGCCCUGUAAGUCAGUGGUGAAAUAUCUCAGCUUAACUGAGAGGGUGCCAUUGAUACUGCAGGGCUUGAGUACAGAUGAGGUAGGCGGAAUUGACGGUGUAGCGGUGAAAUGCAUAGAUAUCGUCAAGAACACCGAUAGUGAAGGCAGCUUACCAAGCUGUAACUGACACUGAGGCACGAAAGUGUGGGGAUCAAACAGGAUUAGAUACCCAUGUAGUCCCUGAGCGGGCUGGCAAGGCG